AUCAGAGAAGCAGGAUUGCUUACAGUAGGUGAAACCGAGACUCGUCCGGGAAAUGCGGCCUGAUCCGUUGCAAGAGAAGCGAGUGCCGAGAACAUUGCUUUGCUGCAAAGAAGAGAGUAACUGAACACCAUGACCAACCAGGCUGAGGACACGGGGCUGUCGUUGGUGUCCAGCACUUCAGCACACUACUGACCGUGCAACCCGACCGGGGCUGGCUUUCAUGUUUUUGUCUCUAUGGAUUUGCCUAAAUGGUUUCAAGAUGCUUGGCCUUGCAACCCAGCUGCCAUGUUGUAAGGAAGCCCAAGCCAACCACUUGGAGAAUUGAAUCCCCCAGCCCAUCAGGUGCAUCAACUCCUACAUGUGUGAGGGAGAGAUGGAGGAAGACUUUGGAUGAUCCAGUCCUGGCCUUUGGGUCUUCCAGCUGAGGCCCCGAACAAUAAGCAGCAGAGACAAGUAUCGUCACUGAGGUGCUGUCUGAACAUCUGACCUACAGCAUCUAUAAGCAUCAUAAUGGCUGUCUCACAGAACUAAGUUCUGAGGUGCUUCACUCUGCAGGCAUAACAACUGGGACAACUCGGGGUUUGACUCUUCACACUCUCUUCCUGGCUCUUGCUGUCUGGUAAA
This is a long non-coding RNA of Tupaia belangeri chinensis (Chinese tree shrew), 624 nucleotides long. RefSeq lists it as uncharacterized. The record is from RefSeq and is a predicted model, not a curated record. The transcript is spliced from 4 exons. NCBI's taxonomy places the organism in Eukaryota, Metazoa, Chordata, Mammalia, Scandentia, Tupaiidae.